CAACUUUUAACAAUGGAUCUCUUGGCUCCGGCAUCGAUGAAGAACGCAGCGAAAUGCGAUAGCUAGUGUGAAUUGCAGAUUUCAGUGAAUCAUCGAGUCUUUGAACGCACAUUGCGCCUCUUGGUAUUCCUCGAGGCAUGCCUAUUCGAGCGUCGUUU
RNAcentral lists this ribosomal RNA (158 nucleotides) under Neocochlearomyces chromolaenae. Its description in RNAcentral is "5.8S ribosomal RNA". It matches the Rfam family "5.8S ribosomal RNA". Rfam says of the family: 5.8S ribosomal RNA (5.8S rRNA) is a component of the large subunit of the eukaryotic ribosome. It is transcribed by RNA polymerase I as part of the 45S precursor that also contains 18S and 28S rRNA. The record is from RNAcentral. Lineage: Eukaryota; Fungi; Ascomycota; Dothideomycetes; Muyocopronales; Muyocopronaceae.